GGAGCCGUGAGCUUUGUUCGCAUCGAGGGGGUCAGGGGUUCAAAUCCCCUCAGCUCCACCA
This 61-nucleotide transfer RNA is filed under the name Actinopolymorpha pittospori. Its description in RNAcentral is "tRNA-Leu". Lineage: Bacteria; Bacillati; Actinomycetota; Actinomycetes; Propionibacteriales; Actinopolymorphaceae. The record is from RNAcentral.